GUGGGGAAUAUUGGACAAUGGGCGCAAGCCUGAUCCAGCCAUGCCGCGUGAGUGAUGAAGGCCUUAGGGUUGUAAAGCUCUUUCAGUGGGGACGAUAAUGACGGUACCCACAGAAGAAGCCCCGGCUAACUUCGUGCCAGCAGCCGCGGUAAUACGAAGGGGGCUAGCGUUGUUCGGAUUUACUGGGCGUAAAGCGCACGUAGGCGGAUCGUUAAGUCGGGGGUGAAAUCCUGGAGCUCAACUCCAGAACUGCCUUCGAUACUGGCGAUCUUGAGUCCGGAAGAGGUGAGGGGAACUCCUAGUGUAGAGGUGGAAUUCGUAGAUAUUAGGAAGAACACCAGUGGCGAAGGCGGCUCACUGGUCCGGUACUGACGCUGAGGUGCGAAAGCGUGGGGAGCAAACAGGAUUAGAAACCCGUGUAGUCC
RNAcentral lists this ribosomal RNA (425 nucleotides) under uncultured bacterium. Its description in RNAcentral is "bacterial SSU rRNA". It matches the Rfam family "Bacterial small subunit ribosomal RNA", at positions 354 to 796 of the family's 1533-position model. The record is from RNAcentral.